Molecule: non-coding RNA, 16896 nt
Organism: Myodes glareolus (Bank vole)
Lineage: Eukaryota; Metazoa; Chordata; Mammalia; Rodentia; Cricetidae
Source: RefSeq, a predicted model, not a curated record
CCCAUCCGUUAUGUUUCAUAGUUAAAACCAUCCUUUCGCUAAAAUGUCCGUUCUGUUGCAAGCGGCACAAGUAGCGAUUUCUGGGUAACGGACAGAGAACAGGCUCUCAGAAAAGAUUUGCAAUUGGAAAACAGGGUUUGAAAAGGGACUAGGAAGGAACCAGUCAAAGAUUCCACUGCAGGUGUAACUCGGCGAAAAAGUUUGUCAGCCUGACUUGCCCUGCCGGUGACUUCUCAGUUUGAGUAUGAGGUGACCUGAACCACGGAGCUGUGUUUAAUUGCUCGCUUUACAGGAAAUCACCUCCUAACUGCUGCUGCGCUCUCUCCAGCCAACACCCAAAGCCACUGCCAGGGUCACGGGGAUGAUGAGACCUCACAAGGGUGGCUUCUGUAUUCAGAGGCUUAGUCUAUUGUCAUCAGCGUGCAACAUGGUGGCAUGGAGGCAGGCUGCGAGCAGCAAGGACGUGAGAGGAAAGCCCAGGAGCAUCAUCAGAUGUGGAUGGAAGGAGACAGAGACGUGAGUGAGCCCAGAAACUGAUAUAGAAGACAAGCGUUGAAGGAGAAAGCACGCAGUGGAUCGGUCCCAGCUGGACAUUAUGUGGGUGCUGGCCCCAAUUAAGUUCUCUCUUCUCCACGGACACUUUAGGACCCUCACUGAAGGGACUGCACAUCCAGCUGCAGCUAGGAAGCAGUCCAGGGGAGAAGAGAGAGAAGUUCAGUGUGAACCCAGAGUAAAUUCCUCCUGUGCUGUGUGUGAAAUGGUUGGAAAUGACUAACUGCUGCGGGCUGAAGAAGAAGGAAUAAUUUCUUGCACACCCGAUUCUGUGGGCCCCUAAGUUAGAGCAGCUCUGGUACACAGAGAGAGAAGUUUCCGUUCACUUUUGUGUUCCUGUUCUAGACCACAGGUUCCCAGACUUGUCUGCAUGUGGUAGCCACCUGAAGCACACAGAGACCCGUCCCUGCCUUGCAUCUCUUCCACAGAGGUCAUCCUUUCAAUUGUUCUGCAGUGAGGCCUGGGAUUUGUCGCUUCUCCAGGUGAUCGUAAUGUGCAGACCAGCUUCAGAAUCACUGUUCUAGAAUGUUCCAAGGAUCUGUCAAGGAAUGACUCAUUCCUAUGACAUCUAAAAGAAGACCACCUAUACUUUAUAACUGGUUUUGAAGUAAAAGUGUACCAAUACAAUUCUGAAAUUAUAACUUUGUAUCACGGAAUUAUUGCACCCUAAAAACAGACAAAAAGCCAAAUCUUUUUGUCUAUUUAAUACUUUUCCUAUCAUAUUAUAACUAGUAGCCCCCUGUAAAAUUCUCUCUUGUUAUGAAUUAUGCUGAAUAGACAUGAAUUGGUGAAUUAUAUAUAAUUAGAUAUUCAUAUACACAUACACAAAUGUAUAAAAAUACAACCACAUUUAUAGCCGGAAAAAAGAUCUAAGUAUAAUUUCCAUAGCCCCUAUAAGUCCAAGCUAAGUAGAAUGAUGUUUAAAUGUUCUGUGUCCAAGCCAGCGCCUACUUUACCGCUACCCAGGCGGCAUGGUAAGAAACUUUCCACCUUGCUUCCUCUCUCCAUCAGCCCGGUCCAGUUUGAUUGUCCCUCACGACGCAAGUGCAGAUCAACAAGUCUGUCCGUCUGCAUCCUGUAGACUGACCUUCAUUUCCGCUGUUGACCAUGUCAAUGUUCUCAUAACCCUUGAGAUAAAAUCUUACAGCCUUAAAGGGCCUUUUAAAUUUCUUCUUGUUGUAGCUACUGUUUCUCAGGCAAAUUCUGACCAGCCUGCUAUGCCCUCACUUAAAAUCCAAUCUUAGGGUUUUCAUUUCCUAAGAAACUAAGUUAUAGAGCUUCCACUAGCUUUGGAAUCCCCUUGCACAAGUACACUGAUGUGGGGUUAUAUUUGUGGAUGUCUGUCUGUCUAUCUAUCUAUCUAUCUAUCUAUCUAUCUAUCUAUCUAUCUAUCUAUCUAAUCUCCCCCCCCUUCUGUGUGUGUGUGUGUGUGUGUACGAACACAUGCCUGUGAAUCUUCUUAUGUUAGGGUGAAUAUACAUGUGUGGGUCCCCAUGUACAUACGUGUCUAUGUUUGCAUGUCUGUGCUUGCGUGUCUGUGCUUGCAAAUUUUGGACAACCUAAAAUGUUGCCUUCGGGAAUAUUUAUCUCCUUUGAAACAAGGUCUGUCAUUGGUCUGGACCUCACCAAUUUUGCUAGAAUGGCUGGCAUGUGAACCCAGGGAUUCCUGCUUCUGCUUCCCCGGGGCUGAUAUUACAAGCUCACGGCACCGUGUCAUCAUUAUGAUGUAGGUUUUGAUCAAGCUCAGAUCCUCAUUCUUGGCUUUAUCAACUCAGCUAUAGCCUUGUUUGUGUGUUCUUAAUGUGAAGAUGCUGAAAGCGUUCCAGCACUCUGUGACUCUCUUGUCACUAUACGCUACCCAGGAAUCCCUCUGGCCAUGGAUGUGCAGUACCCAUUCCUGUCACCAUGCACUACCCAGGAAUCCAGUUCUCUGGCCAUGGAUGUGCAGUCCACUUAAGACUGAGUUGCCUUAAGGCAGGAGUCUUGUCAAAUGUGCAUAGUGUCACCCUCCAGCACCAAGCACCAUACAUGUUGUACAAGAGAUAUAAAUAUUUAUUAAACGAGUACAAAAUUGGCAUGUAUAGCUUUUCUUUUUCCUGAUUACUGCACUUCCUCAUUCCUCUUGAGCUGGAAAGAGCUAAAGUCAGAUGAGUCAUGAAGUGUGACACUAGGAGUGGUCACGUGAAGGAACAAAUACACGUGUGCACCUCAGCUGGACCUGAUGUCACCAGUUUGAGUCAACACUGAUGACGUCACCAAUUUGAGUAAACACCGGGUCUGCAUAAGACUCCUCAAGACAUUUCUGCUUUUUUCCUUAAGGAGUCUGUCGCUCUUCCUGUUCAGAAAUGGUUUGGAUUUGAAUUUGUUUCUGUCUUGCUUGUCUCGCUCUGUCUUUGAUGCUGCGUUGACAUUUGCUAUAACUUUAAAUUCCACGUUCUCUGUGCAGUUUCCAGACCACCCGUGUACAAACCAUGAGACGCCCGUGUCUGUUCACUAGAACACCACAGUAGUGACUGGAAUACUUAUGGAUCUUAGGAGCUUUCCCGCCUUCAAACCCAAGAAAAAAAUUUGUCAUUUAUGUUCUCUCUGGUUCUUUCAAGCAUAAAUAUACACUUAUAUUUUAAAAUUUGAUAGUGGGUUUUGUUCUAUCCACUCUCAUAAGUACUUAUUGAACACACACUGCCAUUUACUUGGUGACUUUCUGUUAGUGGGCCUUUGAAAUUUUCAACAAGCUACUUGGAAUUGUGCUGACGGGACUCAUGCCUGUUCCUGGUCUGUGCAAACGCUCACCUUGUGUGUAUCUAGAAGGGGGUUGCUCAGCCCCAGCGUAAGAAAGCAAGCGGCUCCUUCAGGCUCAACACUUAAGACAUUAUCUUCAAAACUGGAUUCAAUUUCAUACACGUGCAAAAGAAAUCCAUUUGUAUUUCAAGUUUUUUUUAAAUUUCCAGUAAUUUAGAGAUGAUAUUCCAAUCAGACUACAACACCACUUUUAAGAGGUAGAUCAAUUCCAUUUAGUUACUGGCCAAAUGUAUUUCUUUCCAGUGAAACGAUUCCUCUUUACAAUUUACACAUGUAUCUAUGUCAUGCUGACACUUGGAGGAACUAUGUUACAAGUUUUUAUUGCUUUUGUGGUUUGGCUUUGCUAUUUUCUCUCUUUUUGAAGGAAAACACUUCCACUUGUUUUAAGUUUCUUUUUGUACAUUAAGCCAUGAACUCACUAGGAAAGGACUGAGCAGUUCCCAGCCCCUCCCUUUAGUCCUCACUAACGUCCCCGGGCACAGCUAGCUGGAGCUAAAGCUCCACAUACUUCUCUUUUUGACUGUAUUUUUCUGAUUGUUUUUGUUUCUGCUCUGAAGAGUGUCUAAUAGGCUCAGUGCACACAUUAAGUCCCUGGUUAAUACUCUUACCCUUAAGUUGUUUAUUUACAAUGUUGCCCAUGGCAUGCUGGGUGAUAUUGUGAACUCUGUCAGUUUUGCCGUGGUAACAGUCAUGAGCCUUUCCUGUUUUGAACAGUACCCAUUUCCUCGAUGUCUACAAGAUCACAUUCUGUGUACAUUUACAUGCUUGUGACCAAAGGAACAACAUCCCUAAAAGGCCGAGAGAACAUAUGUCAGGCCCCUCCCCCUUUCCCUAUGUGCUUGUCACUCUGGCAAAUUAUUGACAAAGGGCUGCUGAGGCUGGAGGGGCAUUUUCUAAUUUCCUUAUGUUGUGGAUUAAUUUUAAUGUGGUCAAUUAGCAUCUUUAUCUUUGUGGGGUGUAUGUGUGUGUCCACACACACAGACACACACGCUCAUGUUUUUGGAGGUCAGAGAGAGACAUUAGGUUGCUAUCAUUCACCACCUUCUGUGUUGAGACAUGGUCUCUCACAGAACCUAGAAUUUACCUGUUUGACAAAACUAGCCAAUGAGCUUCAAGGAGUCCCUUGUCUCUGCCUCCCCUGCUCUAGAAUUGUAGGUACACCCCACCUCGACAUUUUACAUGAGUUCUGGAGAUUUCAACAUGGAUCAUGCUUGUGGAAAAAGUACUUUACAAACCAAUCCAUCUCCCCAGCUCCAUCAGAGUAGUUAUGUGAGAAUUAAAGUUCCUUAUAGACAAAUAUAUGAAAAGAUUAGUUUAUCUCUAUUCUUGGAAAUAUAUAUGUGGUUUUCAAAUAUUAAUUUUAUUUAUAAUUCUCAAUCUUGAAUUAAGAAUACAUUAUUAUCAAAUUGGAGAUACCAAAAUAUUAACUAUUUUUUAAUUGCUAGAUAAGUUUUUGCUUGUUUGUUUUAUCGACACUGGGUUUCUCUGUAGUUUUGAAGCCUGUCCUGGAACUAGAUUUUGUAGACCAAGCUGGCCUUGAACUACUCACAGAGUUCUAGGAUUUAAGAUGUACACGUCACCACCACCCAGCUAUAUAAGUAUUAAAAAUGUUUACUUUAUGACUUCAAAUUAUGUGUAUAUGCCUGUGUCUGUGUUGGUGUUUGUGCAGUGAGUGAAUGUACCAACCGAGACCAGAGGUGUCAACGCCUGCGGUACGAAGUCGUGGUGACCACCUGGCAUAGACCUGACAGAAGCAUGGAUCCUCGCUAAGAAUAGUAGUAUGCACUCCUAAGCUGGCUCUUUUCUCCAGCCCUAUUAAUGUUUCUUGAAAGAAAAAUUGAUGGACCAAAGACACCAAUGAAAGAAGGAAUUGAUAAAGUGGACUGGAGGGAAAUGAGGAACAUCUCUGCGACUUGUGAUAUAAGGAUGAGUGAGGGGAUAAAGACGGAGAGAAAGCUUCCAGACAGCACCAGAGAGAGGACCAUUAUCUACAAUAUAUAGGAACUAGGAAAAUCUCAUAAGAAAAAGAAACAGCUGGUUAAGAACGUGGAAGAAACUUGAACAGACACACCCUACUGAAUAGCGUACAGAGAUAGCUUGAGAGCUUAUAAAAAGAUUACCACUGUUGCCAGGGUGUAUGUUCCCUGGCAAGACCGCCGUGCCCAUGGGUUUGUAAAGGGCUUAGAGAGAAGCCACUCUGGCCAUGGAUUUAGGGAAUACCAUCUGCUUUAUUGAACGUGAACAACCAUUUACAUAAUGGAAGCGCAUGGGCUGUGAUUGGUUAGCACGUACCACCAGGGGCUCUAUGUGGGAGAGGCACGUUAGAGGUGUGGAGAGUGCAGACCUGUCCAUGAGCCAACCACUCAUGCUCCUUCAGAAUUAAGCAUUAUACCUUCAGGAGCACGUGCCAUGGUUUUUAUUUAGAAUGAAGUAUGCCAAGUAAGCUGACCGCCGUUCAUGCCUGCCUUGUCUCCUACAAAAGGUGUUGACUACCGUUAAGGGGCUGGCAAUUAAAACAGUGAUGUGGUACUGGCACACCCGAUAGGAUAGUCAGCAUCCCAAACACUAACUGUAAAUGCUGGGGAUAUGGGAGCAACAGGAGUGGACUAGUAUUUUGGAAAGGAGUUUGACAGCCUUUAAAAAAAGAAAACAAAACAAAAAAACCUAACUGUACUCUCAUUAUAGAACCCAUAAUAAUGUCCCUUGAUAUUUAUUCAAAUGAGUUAUAAUUUGUGUCCACACAAAAAUCUGCAGGUGAAAACUGACACCUGCACCAUCCAUGAUUGACCCAAACUGGAAGCAAUUAAGAUACUUAGCAAGUGCAUGGAUAAGUAAACCACGGUUCACUGGAAGAUUCCGGUGGAUGUGCUAAGCAGCAUCUCCGAUUUUGCUUUUUGUGAAGUGUCACAGACGCUGUAGAACAAUCCACAAAGAGCAUAAUCAAGGACAAGAAGAACGCCAGUGGUUAAUGGUUACAAGGAGGAAGAAGAAAAAGCGAUGAAUGAUGGACACAAAGGAAUUGGGGGGCAGGGGGACUACACUGCACGAUGCUACAGCAGUGGAACCAUGACACGGACAUUCAAAACUUAUAGAAUGAAGACAACUCGCAUGUAAACUGUGAGUCAUGUGGACGUCAUUGGUUGGGUCAGUCGCCACUUCGCUGCAGGAAGGUGGUUGUGAAGGAAGUCAUGUGCCUAUGGAGAUGCGGGACUAUGGGAAGUCUCUAAAACUGAUCUGAGAAAAUGGUCCAUGGCUGAGGACUUUGCAGAACAAAGUGAUGACUUCAGAUAGACACCUGCUAGCUUUUGAGUUCACAUGGACCUCUCCAGGGACUUGCGCCUCUGACGAAGUCUGCUGCCUGUGUCUGACUUGUGGUAAUUUGGGGAGAACAGAUAGCCGGGAACACGGGGUAGAGCGGUCAGGGAUCCUGGAAACACGCAGGGCAGAGUGAGGAGAGCUGCCGGAGAAGCAGCUGCCGGGUGGAUGGUCUCAUCUUGACCUGGAAAGAUGCCACAGAACCUAGGUGGCACGGUGGCACUUGAUCACGGGUGGACGGUUGGCACUGAGGUCAUGAUGUCUGUCCUGCACUUACACACGGGAUCUGCUCACUUUGCAUUUUGUAGCGACUCUGUCUGAAUAGACGGCUGGUAGGUACAUGGAAGAGUUAGGCACGUGAUAGUUACUGUAUAACUUGACAACUGAAUGGAGAGAAAGUCAAGAGGCGAGGUUGGCACCAGAUGGAUAAAAAUAAAAGGAGCAACUGCAACCACUACUACAUGAAAGAACACAUUUUUUCCAUUUUUCUAAGGUGCCAAAGCAAUUUUAAAAGGACACAAAAGUGAGCUUAUUUUAAACUAAUCCGUGUGUACACAAAUAAUAGUUGGAGAGAAAUAGAAAGUUUUUUUUUUUUAUUCUGAAGUGUGGCAUAAGGAAAUCUCAGAGUUCAGUCAACUAGAUGGGAGAUCAAAGUGUCCAGGCAUUUCUUAAUUGGAAAUUUCCUUCUCUCAGCCCCUGAAGAAAAUUUCCUUCUGUUGUAGCAUCUGUUUGCUGUGGUCCAAGAGUUUCUCCAGUUUAACAAAUGUGUCUGUUGAUUGUGACAUCUGGGAAGGCUGAGUAGGCAACACACACAAAAGGUGAUGUGGUUGGUGACUAACUCCCUAAGCCUCUGGCGUGUUCUUUACACUCAUAGGACUAAAGUAGUGGUCCACACAGUACUUUUUUUUGAUGCUUUUUUAAAAAGAAGAAGCCUCCAGUUUAUGCAAUAUUGGAAUUGUACCUUUCCUUAAUCUACUUACCAUGAUGUCAGUAGAAAAGUUUGACUUGGUGUGGCAAUAGAGCUUAAGAGAUGAUUUCUGGGUGUGUCUGUACAGACUGGCACUUUGUCAACAAGGGGACUGUCUAUAUUUUUUUGCUUGCAUUUGUCUACUGUCAAAAGGUACAUCUUAACAACCUCUAUGCCAAGUACACUGCAAAACUGAGGAAGAAAAUGCGUUAGAAUUUAUGUUUGUAAGCAAAAACCAUCGUAUUAGAGAUUUCUGACAUCUCUUAUGCGUAUUCAGGAAGUGUUUAAAGAGAAAGACCUGCCGAAUUUCUUGCUUUCAUUUGAGGGAAAAGAUCUUACAAUCUUUGAAAAAAAUUAGAAAUUCUUGUAAACCUUUUACCUUUCAAAGUCUUUUAAAACUCUUGUAAUUUUGAUAUUGUUUUCUCUUGCUUUCACAAUACCCUAUGCCCCCAUGUUCUCUCAUUGCUUGCAAGGAUCCAUCAGAUACUCUACAUAUAUUUUUUUUAAUUUUGUCACUUUUUGUUUUUUUCAGUUUCCACAUUUAGAAAUUUAAGAAGUAAACAUGAUGACUUUCAUUAGAUUUCGGCCAAAUGCUCCACAGGAACGUCUCCUGUCCAUCGGCCUUAAAUGAGUGUUCCCAUUCUACUUCUGUAGGUCAUGCUUCUCUGUGGACCUGAAGUGCAGACAAUCCUGAUGUCACCGGCAGGGGUGGCUUCUACGUGACUUGAGGGUUCUGUGUUAUGAUCAGCCAACUGGUCUGCAGGCCAUGAGCUUGCUCGCCACCCAGCCUGGAGACCUGGUCUCAGAUUGAUCAGUCCUUUCCUUUCCUGAUUUCGUGUUCUUGGCGUGACUGGAAUUCUCUGAGCUUCAGGGUUGACAUAAGGUAUAGAAAAUACAGGAAAACUCUUCAUGUGGUAAUGGAACUUUUAGCACAGAAGGAGCCCAUGCCCUGAGGAGAGGCAGGCGUUGAUUCCUGAGUUAUAGGACAUCAAGAAGAAGGGGUCUUUGCCCCGGGCUAGCUGGAAAGUCUCCCUGCCGUAACACACAGUUAAAGGACAGUGGCCUGCUGGGAAGCGGUGAAAGAACUGGCACUAGUGAGAAAUGUUCUUCAAAACAAACUGUAUUUGGAUCAUCACAUGUGGAUUUGGGAAGUGGUCGAAUAUCAAAAAUGUAACUGAGGCAGUUGGUGGAGGGGAGGUAGUUGGUCGCAUUUCCAGUGAACGCUGGCUUGAGGACCCCUACUCAGUCCUCAGACACGCCUCCUUCACCAGAUGGCACUGAGCAACCGAAUCAAACAAUAACUCCCUUUUCCAAUGUGAUGCGUAUGAAGCAAACUUCUAAUUAUGUUUUGGCUUUCACAUAGUGGAAAGAAGUCACUGAAAAGAGACUCUAUUUAUCUGAAAUCCGUUGUGUCAAACGGUAAGGACAUCCAACAUCUUUGAAAAAUGCUGAUUUAAAAUUCACAGCAACAAUACAUUGGGAAGUGUAAAACACAGAAAAUGGAGACACAUACUCUAUUCUUACCAAUGCUGCUACUUAAGGGGUGUGAGUUCUCUCACAAAGAUAUGAAAAACUACAAAAAAAUGUUUCACUUUUAUUUACUCUUGGGGAAGAUCUACUGUAUGGGGUCUUGGGAUUUAUGAAAUGAACAAGAUUCUCAGAACACCUGCACUUUUUUUUUGUUAUUGUUGGAAGCAAAAUUGUACUGGAGGGAAGUUGACCAUUUAAUGGUAGUUAUCUAGGUAAUUGUGGUGUAUACUUUGUUAACAGAGGGGAGAAUGAGAACUCGGAAUUGUCACUGAAGCGUGGAGUGUGACAUCUCCUAGACCAAGGCGUCUGGGACAGGAAGUUAGGAGAAGAGGGGGACAAACUGUAGCAGAGGAAAGAUGGGGAAAAAGGGUAAGGAUUGUAUCAUUUAAGGUUCUUGGUUUCAAACAAUACAAGCUAAGGAACUAACCAGAAAAUAUAUUAAAAAUAAAAACUAGUGAAAGAUAAGGGGCAUUGACCCAGAACUGAGGAAUUAAGAAAUAAAAGAGAAUGAAAAGAAUUUUAAAAAUUGAAAAGCAGUGAUGUACACAGUAUGGAAGAUAGGAAGUCCUUUCUUUGUCCGACAUGUGGCCAGUGGUGCUGUCCCAACUUAACAUUUGUGCUGAGCUGUGAUAUCUGAUUGUUAGCAUGUUAGCGUGUCACCCAACAUGUUUCACAGUCCUGCAGGAGCAUUUGAUUGAUCAGAUAUGGUAGCUGUUCAGUUGAGGGCGCCGGUGGAUGCUUGCUGUGUGGCAAUCUCCUUUCUACAUCCCUCCUCUGUGCCAGGGGAGCUGCUCCACCAACAGAGUGCAGUGUAAGUCAUGACUGGUAACUUCUGAGUCCAGUACAUAAAAAUUAUUAUUAUUUCUGCCUUGAUUUUUCUUAGAUCACUUCCUCUCGGGAAAGUCAGCUGCCAGACUUUAAGGAUAUUUAAGUAUCUCUUUAAGGAAGUCACAUAAUGAGGGACUGAAACUGCCUCCAAAUAUCGACAACUUGCCCAACUUAGAAGUGUAUGAUCAGCCCAAUCAAUCUUUCCCGUGAUGUCUUGCAGUCUCAUGAGGGACUGGGCCAGAAUAUUCCAACUAGGCUGUGCCUUGAUCGAUUCGUAGAAACUGUAUUAAACAAGAAGGUUUCAUUUUUUUUAAGUGCUAGGGAUGUUUGUUGGACUUCCGUUGUUCUGUCAGGUCACAGCAGUGAAGUGGGGAAAGAUCCACCUCAGCGUAUGGGUUCAUAGAUUUCUAUCCAUCAUGGUGAGGCGAGUGUGGUGAGGCAGAGCCGAUGGCUUAUGACAUUGAGAAAGCUGAGUUGGGAAGAUAGAAGGAGCCAAGCCAGGAUAUGCCCUCCUAAGACAAGCACUCCCAAGGACCGACUGCCUUAGUCAGGCCCCACCUUGCAGUUUCUACACUUCCCAGUAGGCUAUCCAUUCAGAUUUUCAAUCUAUCAAUGCUAUAUGCCAUUGAUUAGAUACGAGUCCUCAUGAGCUAAUUCUCUCUGGAAAUUUCCAGUACUGUGUUUCACUCAUCUGAGCAUCUCUCAAUCCCCUUAAGUUGACACGGAUAAGCAUAUACUAAAUUUUAAGGUACACUGCAGUGCAGAAAUAAUAAGCACGCAGUCCUGGUUCCUGACUGUCAGGAAGAAGGAGGCCCUUUCAUUUCAUCAAGAAUAAAUUAAGUCAGGUUUCAAAAAGAAGAAUUUUAAGUGUGAACAACUAACUGGAUUCCUCCAGUGGUAGAGGCAAGAGUACUGUGGGUUUAAUGACAUUCUGAGUUACAUGGUGAGUCCCUGUCUCAUUCAAAAAUUUAUUUCAUUUUAUUCAUUAUUGUGUAUAUAUGUAUGUGUGGUGCAUGAACUUGUUUGUGUGUGUGUGUGCGCGCGCGCACGUGUGUGUGCAUGUGUACCACAGCAUGCAUGUAGUCACGUGAGGACAAUCUUUGCAGACUAAUGUAUGUGUGAUGCAUGAGCAUGUCUGUGCGUGUGUGCAUGCAUCUAGUCAUGUGAGAACAAUCUUUGCAGACUCAGUUCUUUCCUUCCACUUUUACAUGAAUUCUGGGCGUAGAACUUGAGUCAUCAGACUCGAAUCACAGAGAUAGCUCCUCAGCCCUUGAACAUUUGAGAAAAUUCAUUCUUAAAACCCACUAAUAAACACUUUCACAGCAGCAUUUCGUGUUCCCCACUGCUCUAAAUUCCUUAGAAGCGCCACGUCCUUUAAUCCUCAGAGCCACCCUGGGAAGUAAGCAGUUAGUAUCAUCAGCUUUGGUGGCACCAAAGGCAUGUGUUGAAGACAGGUCUUUUAAAAUGCAUGCAAAGUUAAAAUAUCAUUAAAUCUGGGUCUUAAUCCAAUAUGACCAAUUUCGCUCGGGGGAGAGGAAGGGGAGCCUAAGAUGUAUGGACUGAGGGGGAACAAAACCAUAAUAGGACACAGUAAGAAGAUAGCCCUCUGCCAGUCAUGGAGAGAGCUUUCCAAAGAAGCCAGAUGCGCCAAAAACUUGAUCUUUGGCUUCUAGGAUUAUGGAAACAUAAAUUUCUGUUGUUAGGCUACUCAGUCUGUGGCACUGGCUUGCUGUGGCAGCCUUGGGUGGCUCACUGUAGACACCACCCUAGGGAGGCAGGAGCCAUGCUGCUUUGGUUAUUGGUUUGUCCCUGUAUUCAUUAUGCUAAUCACCUCCACCCGGUCUUUGAGAGCUGCGACUGUGGAUGAAGAGAUCAAAGGCAGAGAAAUGUUAAGUUUACACAGCUUCAGAGAAAAAAAAAUGGGAUUCAAGAUCUCUCUGUGAGUCUUCUAGGUUGCAGCCAGCCGGAUCCUGACAGGGACGUUCUAAAGCUGCUCUUGCUUUAUCCCUGAAAUUGUUGGCCUAGCUUCCCAAUGAGCAUUCAGGGAAGUCCCAAAAGUUGUUUGAUCGUCAUGAGAUCAGAUUGACUAAAAGAGCCAUUCUGAAUUCCUCAAAGGUUGACAGGUUUCACUUCGGAGAUGUGGGAGUGUUUGAAAGGCCGAGGUGUGAAGCACCUUUCACAGUGUCAUUUCCUUACUCUCUGGAGUCUCACUGAGCAUCAGAUUGUCUGAGCCCAGUUCCUAGCCGCCAUUCAAGUGCAGUCAGCAUCUUCAGCUGUGUCAGACACAUCUCCCAGUGAACACCUUAAGAGGGAAAAAAUAGCUUCCAUCAAUGAUUUCCUUCUUUGUGCUGGUGCCAUCCAAAUGUGGUCCAGGAUGAUCCUGUCUUACAGGGACACCCAAUACUCCCACAGUUCCAGAGCACAGCAGCCUUCGCAGUACAUUUGUCCCAGUAAAAUAUUGCAUAGAGGAUGAGAUUCCCAUCUUACACAGCCCCGCAGAAACUUACUGAGGCUUUUCAGUAAGGGCUUCAUUGUUUACCUGCAAAGUUUCUCUCCUCUUAUUCUGAAAAGCUAUCUUUAAAAAGUCUCUCCUUGCAAAGAUCUGAAGAAACCCCCUUGGCUGCCUUGAUCAUUUCAUCUUCAUUCAAACUUCACUUACCAAAACAUAGGUUCCAUCUUCACAGGAGAAGUGGUACUCUAUGACAUUCUCUGCUGUCUACAAAGAACACUGGUGGUACCUCACUGUCUACAGGGACUAUCGGUGAAACUUUGGACCCGGUGUGACUAAGUGUGAAACAGAACAAGCUCUUGAUCAACUCGAGGUAGCUAUCCUUGCUUUAAAGACACGCAGAAUCAAUGAAAGUUUAAACAGCAACACAAAGGGCAGCACCCGUGAGAGCUCAGCCACGCAUUCCUGACAGCUGGAAUCAGACGGCUUGAUCUUCCUCCACCGUCCGUCACUGUGCCCAAAGAGACUUCGCAACACGUUGCUGAUGGUUACUCUUGAUUGUAUAUUUGAUGAGAUUUACAAUCACCAUGGAAAUAAACUUUUGGGUAUCUUUGUCGGGGGGAUAUAGAUUAGGUGAAUUAAGGUGAAAAAAAAUACUCUUCCUAAAUAUGAGUGAAACCAUCCAUGAGAUGAAUUCUUGGGCUGAAUUAAAAAGGAGAAAGAGGGGACAUGCAUUGCUCUCUGCUUCCUGACUGUGGAUGCAAUGUGACCGUCUGUUCCCUGCUGCUGCGACCAUGUAUGCCACACCCUAAAAGAUUACACUUAAGCUGUGAGCCAGAACAAACUUUGACUUCUUUUUAUCAGAGAAAUUAAUGCAUACCUAAUACAGAAAAUUCCUUCAGGAAAAGCAAAGAAUUGCUGAAGCUUCUUCCAUUAGGGAUUCUGACUUGAGUUAAGAAUGGCACGCAAUUACAUGGAGACCUGGUAGAAGCAAGAGUUGGUUACCUCCUUCCCCCCAUAAUCUCAGAACCAGCAGGCAUGCACAUUGCACGUUAGCUUAAGUUUUGCUCAGAUCUGAAAUGUAACUCGCAGCUUCAGUUAUAAGGAUACCCUGCAUUUUUAUCUUGCACUUACUUUGCCGUGUGUUUGGGGACAAUUUGUUUUCUGUUCUAGGACUGCAGAUGAGGCUUGGCUACAGUUCCAGAUGAGAGAGAGAAGAUAAGCAGACUUAUUACCAAGCAUUGGUAGGGCCUGCACUGUGACCAUUAUAUUUUGUUAAUUGUAAAAUGGUCCUUUAGUUGAGUCACUAGGAGCCAAACAUACGUAUUUUACACAUGUGUGAAUCAAAGCAGCAAGCUCUUUGUGGGGAAAGAUAAAAUGGAUGCUUAUCGACUUAAGCUCACGUAUUAGAUUUUGCGUCAGAGAUUUUGUGUUUCUCUGUGUGUGGUAUUUUCAUACAAUGUUAUGAAUAAAUGGAGUAUUAAUUUGCUUAAAGCUAAACAUUGAUGAUGUACAGUGAAUAAUCUGCUAAACGUUAAUACAAUUUAUCCCUUUAUAACUUUAUAAACAUGACAUAUUGCAUAUACUUAGUACUAAUCUGUUUUAGACAUUCAUUUGGGCUGACCUAUGACCAUAAUAUAUUAUGUUCCUUGAGAUAUUUAUCUUGUGAUUUGGAAACAAGAUUACAAUUAAUGUGACACACAUGACUGUAAAUUGCCACUUCAACUAGAGCUGUGUGGGUAAUGAAUUAGCUACAGCUCUGAACCCCUCUGCUCAUAAUUUAAAUUACAAGCCUUUAGUUGAUGUCUGAUUGUGAUCUAUUAAAUGAGUCGCAGAACCAAGCAGCCACAUUUUGUUUUGAUGCUAGAACUAUGGGGGCUAUUUUUCAUUUAAUUUACUUAACCCGAGGCUAAUGUAUCCAAAUUCAUGUAAGGAAAACAAACACAAGAGAGAGCAUUUAUAAUUUACAUUAAUAGCAAAAUAAAAAUGACAUUCAGAGUUGAUCUAAAUUAACUAUACUCAAAAAUUCUUUUGACUCUCUCCAAAAGAAAGAACAGUGAACUCAGUAACCUCACUCCAGAGACAUUUCCAUUUGUCAGUUUUCAGAAGAUCUCACCUUAGGACAAAAAGGAAAGAAAGGAGAAGAAAGAAGGAAGAAGGAAGGAAGGAAGGAAGGAAGGAAGGAAGGAAGGAAAGAAGGAAGGAAACCAAACUGGGGAGAUGGCUCAGUAGGUGAUAUGCGCUUUCUGCAUAGUAUGGGAACCUGAGUUCUGAUCUUCAGCACCCAUAAAAAGACAGAUGAGGUCACAGGGGUCUGUUAUUCCACCACUCCUACAACUAGACAUAAACCAGAGACAGGAGAGUUCCCAGAAGCUCCUGGGACAGUAUCCCGGCGUAGGUAGCCAUGUGGAAGAGACCCUGUCUCACAGAAGGCGGAACAUGAGAACUGCCAUCCACGUUGUCCUGUGAGCUGCAGUUACACGUGGUGAUAGGGACAAUGGCAUGAGUGUGUGCAUGCACAUAAAUCUAAAACAUUAAAGAAAAGAACCCAGCAUCUUAUGACUUCUGUAUUUCCUUCUCAGUAUAGGAUUUGCUAGCCUGCAAGUUCCAGAAUUCAUUGGAUAGACACACGAUGGACAUUUGUUGAAGAUGUUUUCACUAGUAGAUUAAAACCAUAGUAAUAGGACAUUGCAAGUCCCCAGCGUGACUGACUGUAUGGGUUCAUUUCGCUGUACAAUGUAAUUUUUAUGUACACAUUCAUAGUAGAAUGACUACUGCAUUCAAGUCAAAUAGCAUAUCUAUAGCUUCACAUUUUUAUUAGCUUGAAAAUACAUAUCUUAGGUGUAUGAGAACUUUUGUUUUUUAAUGUUCUAGGCUUUUCUGCUUUAUAAUGGAGUCUUACAUAUCACUAAUUUUACAAAAUUAAGCAAGGUCAUAUGCGUGAAUAAUUUAAAACAUCACCUCAUACAAGGUAACUAAUACUGCGGUAGAGUCAGAAUGGAGCGUCCGGGGAGGUUGUGGUAGCAGUAGUAACAUGUUUGCUUAGCAUUUCACAAGUCUCUGGGUUUGAUCCCUAGCAUUCCGUGAGCUGGGUGUGGUGGCACUCCCCUGUAAUCUGAGCACUUGGGGGGUACAGACUGGAGGCGACAUGAUACCCCGUCUCAGACUUUUUUUUAAAGAAAAUAAAACAUUAAAACAAGUUUUGAGGAGAAGGUGAUGAAUCAGUUAUGCGUUCAAGAAUCAGACUUUGGAUAAAAGAGGGAGGGGCCCGAAGCAUUUCAGGCAGAAAACGGACAUGAGCAAGAGAAGGCAGAAGUGAGAACAGCGCCGUGUGAGCCAAAGAGAGGCUUCUGAACAAGGUAGCAGGAGCAAGCUGGCAGCAAGUGGAGAUUAAAUUUGUCCCAUAAAAUGGGUUCAGGUGGCUGGAAGCUGUGUGAGCCAAAGGUGUUUUGACAGUGGAGAAUCCUCAUUUGCUUCACCCUCUGUGUCUGCACUGCAGCCAGAAGUUCUGAUGCCCGAUUGCUGUGAGCGAAGGGCCCGUCUAUGUUAGUCUCACCUGAACUCGUCACAGUGUCUUGAAUACUAUACUCAAUGGCUAUAUGUCCCUCCUGGAAAUUAAUGAUCUUAAAUCAAUCCUCUACUGACAGUGAUCUACCUUGUUUUCUGUUGUACAUGUUUGUGUAUAGCUGCUCCUCUAUAAAAAACCAAAUAUUUGCUGAAGAAAGGAUAUUCACUAAGGCCUCAGGAACUUUAAAAUUAAAACCCCAUGGAAGUGCAACAUAAAGUAUAUUUUAGAAUUAAAUCCUUUUUUCAUUUUGGAAUUAAAGAAUUAUAAACUUUAUUUCAAAAUCCCUGCAAAUAAAAAAAAAGUCACACACCGAAGUUACCCAGACCCAGAGUCUAUACAUCUCAAUGAGCUCAUACACAGCAUAGGUCCUUGAUGUGGAAGCUGUGUGGUUGCCCUGGGGUUUGCUAUUGAAUAUAUUGUAUGCAGUUAUCCAACACCAAUAUCAUUAUGCAGUUAUCCACCACCAAUAUCGUAUCCACCACCAGAUCCCAAAUUCCCAGAUUUAGAGCUGGAGAAACAAUUAGCUAUAAUGCCCCCUUUCAGGACACAUCUCCACCACCUGCCUCUGGUCCUCCCUCAUCCCCUAAUAUUCAGUCUGUCUUGUUCUUUCUGACACCAUACAGUACCUAUUCGUACAUCUGUUUACACAUGUAUAUCAGUUGUUGACAAGACUUCGCAUUGAGCGAUUAUUUCUUUCCAAUAUUGAAUGACUUUGAUUACGAUUAUACAUCCUAAGUCUAAGUCCAUUCAGUUUUGUAUUUCAUUAUGUUGUAAAUGCUGAAAUCCCUUACAGUACAUCUCUUAAGAAAAAUACUCUGAGCCGGGCGGAGGUGGUACACGUCUUUAAUCCCAGGACUUAGGAGGCAGAGGCAGGUGGAUCUCUGUGAA